Molecule: long non-coding RNA, 324 nt
Organism: Pipra filicauda (Wire-tailed manakin)
Lineage: Eukaryota; Metazoa; Chordata; Aves; Passeriformes; Pipridae
Exons: 3
Source: RefSeq, a predicted model, not a curated record
AGUCCCAAAUUUGAAUCUUUUGCUGAGGAGCUUGGCUGGUUCAGGUGGAGGAUGUCAUGUUACAUCAGGUGUUUUUCAGAGAAGAGUGGCGCUUUAACAGCCAGCUCAAAAGGAGGGAAUUUCCUUUCCAGACAGAAUGACCAGGCAGACUGAAUUCCUGCGAUGGAGGAUGAGGAUGGAGGCAACUCGGAGACUCACCUUGUGCAGAGAGCCAAGUGUUAGCUGCCACCAUCCUUGAUUCACUACAGCCAAGCCUUCAAGGGAUGUCAGGUUUAUAAGGAUGGCACUCGCAUACAGUUCUGUGAUCAUUGUGACAGUUCCCUG